Molecule: ribosomal RNA, 287 nt
Filed under: uncultured fungus
Lineage: Eukaryota; Fungi
Description: partial 18S ribosomal RNA
Rfam family: Eukaryotic small subunit ribosomal RNA
Source: RNAcentral
CUUUACCUGCUAAAAAAGCAGGCGGGCUUUGGCUGGUCGCGGGUUUUUUAGAGGGACUGUCAGGGUCUAACCGACGGAAGUUUGAGGCAAUAACAGGUCUGUGAUGCCCUUAGAUGUUUUGGGCCGCACGCGCGCUACACUGACAGAGCCAGCGAGUUUUUUUCCUUGGCCGGAAGGUCCGGGUAAUCUUGUGAAACUCUGUCGUGCUGGGGAUAGAGCAUUGCAAUUAUUGCUCUUCAACGAGGAAUUCCUAGUAAGCGCGAAGUCAUCAGCUCGCCGUUGAAUUA